This 36-nucleotide non-coding RNA is filed under the name Trypanosoma brucei brucei. The record is from RNAcentral. Lineage: Eukaryota; Euglenozoa; Kinetoplastea; Trypanosomatida; Trypanosomatidae.
CCAAUAAGAAACGAAAUCUAAGUGGUGGAUGUGAAU